GGUUUGUUUGGUUUUACUUUGAAGAAAGCGAGGGGGUUUGAACCCCUAUGAGUCUCC
Molecule: transfer RNA, 57 nt
Filed under: Nanorana yunnanensis (Yunan spiny frog)
Lineage: Eukaryota; Metazoa; Chordata; Amphibia; Anura; Dicroglossidae
Description: tRNA-Gln
Source: RNAcentral